RNAcentral lists this ribosomal RNA (468 nucleotides) under uncultured bacterium. RNAcentral's name for it is "partial 16S ribosomal RNA". It matches the Rfam family "Bacterial small subunit ribosomal RNA", at positions 28 to 507 of the family's 1533-position model. The record is from RNAcentral.
GACGAACGCUGGCGGCGUGCUUAACACAUGCAAGUCGAACGGAAAGGCCCUGCUUUUGUGGGGUGCUCGAGUGGCGAACGGGUGAGUAACACGUGAGUAACCUGCCCUUGACUUUGGGAUAACUUCAGGAAACUGGGGCUAAUACCGGAUAGGAGCUCCUGCUGCAUGGUGGGGGUUGGAAAGUUUCGGCGGUUGGGGAUGGACUCGCGGCUUAUCAGCUUGUUGGUGGGGUAGUGGCUUACCAAGGCUUUGACGGGUAGCCGGCCUGAGAGGGUGACCGGCCACAUUGGGACUGAGAGACGGCCCAGACUCCUACGGGAGGCAGCAGUGGGGAAUAUUGCACAAUGGGCGGACGCCUGAUGCAGCAACGCCGCGUGCGGGAUGACGGCCUUCGGGUUGUAAACCGCUUUCGACUGUGACGAAGCGUGAGUGACGGUAAUGGGUAAAGAAGCACCGGCUAACUACGUG